GCUGUCCGUGUGGGAUCAGUGGGCUGUCUGUAUGGGAUCAGCAGGCUGUUCCUAUGGGAUCAGCAGGAUCUCACUAUGGGAUCAGUGGGCUGUCUGUAUGGGAUCAGAAGGUUGUCCGUGUGGGAUCAGUGGGCUGUCUGUAUGGGAUCAGCAGGAUCUCACUAUGGGAUCAGUAGGAUCUCUCUAUGGGAUCAGCAGGAUCUCACUAUGGGAUCAGCAGGCUGUCCGUGUGGGAUCAGUGGGCUGUCUGUAUGGGAUGAGGCGGCUGUCCGUAUGGGAUCAGUGGGCUGUCUGUAUGGGAUCAGCAGGAUCUCACUAGGGGAUCAGUAGGCUGUCUGUAUGGGAUCAGAAGGUUGUCCGUGUGGGAUCAGUGGGCUGUCUGUAUGGGAUCAGCAGGAUCUCACUAUGGGAUCAGUAGGAUCUCUCUAUGGGAUCAGCAGGAUCUCACUAUGGGACCACCAGGCUGUCCGUAUGGGAUCAGUGGGCUGUCUGUAUGGGAUGAGUAGGAUGUCACUAUGGGAUCAGCAGGCUGUCACUAUGGGAUCACCGCAACGUCACCAUGGGAUCAGAAGGCUGUCUGUAUGGGAUCACCAGGAUGUCCCUAUGGGAUCACCAAGCUGUCCCUAUGAGAUCAGCAGGAUGUCACUAUGGGAUCAGCAGGCUGUCUGUAUGGGAUCAGCAGACUGUCCCUAUGGGAUCUGUAGGCUGUCCGUAUGGGAUCAGAAGGCUGACCUAAUGGGAUCAGUGGGCUGUCUGUAUGGGAUCAGCAGGCUGUUCCUAUGGGAUCAGUAGGAUCUCUCUAUGGGAUCAGCAGGAUCUCACUAUGGGAUCAGCAG
This 836-nucleotide long non-coding RNA is filed under the name Gallus gallus (chicken). Its description in RNAcentral is "lncRNA (ENSGALG00010009725.1)". Lineage: Eukaryota; Metazoa; Chordata; Aves; Galliformes; Phasianidae. The record is from RNAcentral.